UGAGCAAUCUGCCCUUCUCUUCGGAAUAAGCGUGGGAAACCACGUCUAAUGCCGAAUACGACCUCCUUUCGCAUGAUCGGAGGUGGAAAGCUCCGGCGGAGAAGGAUGAGCUCGCGGCCUAUCAGCUAGUUGGUGUGGGUAAUGGCCCACCAAGGCGACGACGGGUAGCCGGCCUGAGAGGGUGACCGGCCACACUGGGACUGAGACACGGCCCAGAUUCCGACGGGGAG
This 230-nucleotide ribosomal RNA is filed under the name uncultured bacterium. RNAcentral's name for it is "partial 16S ribosomal RNA". It matches the Rfam family "Bacterial small subunit ribosomal RNA", at positions 118 to 348 of the family's 1533-position model. The record is from RNAcentral.